AAUAAACGAAUUUCUAUAUUUUUAAUAGAAUUUUUAACUGUUCGUUUUAUUUAAAAAAAUUUUAUGAUUAAUAUUUUUAUUGUUACUGCAUGAUCAAACAUGAACAAUACUUUACGUGCGACUAAUUUUUUUCAAUUUUUUUAUAAAUUUUUUAAAUAAUACGGAUGGUCAAACACUCGACAUAGAAAACACAGAAAUCCUCUUCUG
This 207-nucleotide microRNA precursor is filed under the name Oryza brachyantha (malo sina). RNAcentral describes it as "MIR812 microRNA precursor family". It matches the Rfam family "MIR812 microRNA precursor family". The record is from Rfam by way of RNAcentral. Lineage: Eukaryota; Viridiplantae; Streptophyta; Magnoliopsida; Poales; Poaceae.